RNAcentral lists this ribosomal RNA (468 nucleotides) under uncultured bacterium. Its description in RNAcentral is "partial 16S ribosomal RNA". It matches the Rfam family "Bacterial small subunit ribosomal RNA", at positions 28 to 507 of the family's 1533-position model. The record is from RNAcentral.
GACGAACGCUGGCGGCGUGCUUAACACAUGCAAGUCGAACGGUGAAGCUCCAGCUUGCUGGAGUGGAUCAGUGGCGAACGGGUGAGUAACACGUGAGCAACCUGCCCCUGACUCUGGAAUAAGCGCUGGAAACGGCGUCUAAUACUGGAUACGAGAAGGGUCCGCAUGGGCACUUUCUGGAAAGUUUUUCGGUUGGGGAUGGGCUCGCGGCCUAUCAGCUUGUUGGUGAGGUAAUGGCUCACCAAGGCGACGACGGGUAGCCGGCCUGAGAGGGCGACCGGCCACACUGGGACUGAGACACCGCCCAGACUCCUACGGGAGGCAGCAGUGGGGAAUAUUGCACAAUGGGCGAAAGCCUGAUGCAGCGACGCCGCGUGAGGGAUGACGGCCUUCGGGUUGUAAACCUCUUUCAGCAGGGAAGAAGCGAAAGUGACGGUACCUGCAGAAGAAGCACCGGCUAACUACGUG